Molecule: long non-coding RNA, 322 nt
Organism: Culex quinquefasciatus (southern house mosquito)
Lineage: Eukaryota; Metazoa; Arthropoda; Insecta; Diptera; Culicidae
Exons: 3
Source: RefSeq, a predicted model, not a curated record
CAGAAGUGAAAUCCAUGUGUGCUGCUUCACAGCGAUAUUAUCUUUAAAAUUUACUGAUUUCUUUAAUUUUCUGUUCUCAGAACGCUUUAUGUGAAAUUACCUAAAACCCGUUGAACCAUGAGAGAUGAUAAUGAGUUCAGCCAAACCAAGCUCGACCAGAUUUGCCGAUUGGCAGCCGAAUUGCAUUAGGGAGCAAAAACGAAUUUAUUAAUCUACCAAAUAUACCGACUAAGACAUGCAAACAGCUUUGUUUUAUUGUCCCCGGACUGUGAUUGAUAAACCGGAUGAAUCCUCCCGUUGGCCACAGCCAACAGUAGUUCAA